AAUAAAAUGCUCACAGUUAAUAAUUAGGAUUUUUACCCUUUCCUAAUAAACUGUGAGCAUUCAAUA
RNAcentral lists this non-coding RNA (66 nucleotides) under unclassified sequences. RNAcentral's name for it is "potC RNA". It matches the Rfam family "potC RNA". The record is from RNAcentral.